Molecule: long non-coding RNA, 586 nt
Organism: Drosophila albomicans
Lineage: Eukaryota; Metazoa; Arthropoda; Insecta; Diptera; Drosophilidae
Exons: 3
Source: RefSeq, a predicted model, not a curated record
CGUCGCGUGCGGUUUCGUUCUUGCUCCUGAGCGGCUGUCGCGUCCUGUUCGCGUCGUUCGCUUCGCUAUCUCUCGUUGUUCGUCAAUAUUCAAAGUGCGCUUCGAUGUUCCGCUGUCGCCGUUAGUUUUUUGAACUAACAAAAAAAAUUGUUUAACGCCCAAUCCCGGAAUGUCUAAACAAUCCUGUAUUAAUGGAAAUCAAAGUACAUCAAAAUAAAAUUAAAUGCCAUAAAUAAAAUCGCAUAUAUAAAAAAGGGGAAAUAAAAUAAAAAUACAAAAACAAAACAAAAACAAAAUACGAGCUUUUGGCAGCUUGAUGUGACCCGUGUGAGUAGCUGCGUCUGAUAUCUAAAUUUACAAGCGUGCUCCAUUAAAUAUUAAAAUACUUGAGCCGCCUCUGCAACCAGGUUCCAUCUACCAUUUACCAUCUACUACCAUCAUCUACUACCAUCAACAAGCAGCAUCCUCUCGCUGUGCGGUUUCCUGUCGCCUGAGCUGUCACUUUAGCUGGGUUUCUUUCUUUCUGUUAUUUUUUUUGUGGAUUGAAGAACACAAAAUAAAAUGGACUCGUUGAUCAACGUUACGU